RNAcentral lists this ribosomal RNA (374 nucleotides) under uncultured Glomeromycotina. Its description in RNAcentral is "LSU rRNA". The record is from RNAcentral. Lineage: Eukaryota; Fungi; Glomeromycota.
UUGAAAGGGAAACGAUUGAAGUCAGUCGUACCAGCGGGAAAUCAACCUUUGAGGGGGGUUUUGGAGUUUUGAAGAGUGUCAAAACCUUUUGAGAUUUCAAAAUAUUCGCUCUUUUGGUGUACUUUCUCGUGGGUAGGUUAACAUCGAUUUUGAUCAUCAUAAAAAGAUUGGAGGAAUGUAGCUUCGAUCUUGUAUUGAAGUGUUAUAGCCUUUGGUAAAUGUGAUGAUUAGGAUCGAGGAUUGCAACGAAUACCCUUUUGGGCUAUCCGCCUGAUCUCUGAUACGUGGCCUUGGUAUCGAAAGCUUGCUUAUGGUAUUAAGGUAUUACGGUCAAAAGGUUAGAACGGAUUACAUUCGUUAAGGAUGUUGACGUA